Molecule: long non-coding RNA, 3092 nt
Organism: Cucumis sativus (cucumber)
Lineage: Eukaryota; Viridiplantae; Streptophyta; Magnoliopsida; Cucurbitales; Cucurbitaceae
Exons: 2
Source: RefSeq, a predicted model, not a curated record
GAAGGGAAUACAAAUUUAACAUUUGAGAAACAUCUAGAGCUUCUUUUGUUCGAAUACGAAUUUAUCAAUUAGGAAAAGAUGAAAAUGCCUCUACAACAAGCCAGAUACACUUUUUGUUUUCUGUUUGGUCGUAAUAAGUUUUAAAUAGAUUUUCCUCUUUUUUUAUUUGUUUGAAAUCGGUUUCUUCAUUUUUUGUUUCAUUGUGUUGUGUUGUUACUGAGGGUUAACGUCUAUUUGUGAUAUGUUUAUAUAUCAUUGAUAGACUUGAGAGAUGUUUUGUUUGUUUGCAUUGGAAUGUUAGUAGAUAAUUUAGUUUUAUGUACAUUUUUAUGUGUUGUUGUUUAAAGUUCUACCAGUGAUGUUUCUAUCAACUUGAAUAUGUUUAACUUGUUUAUGUUGGGAAGUUAGUAAAAGCUCUAGUUUAAAGUACACUUUUUGUGUGAUGUUGCUUAGAGUCUAUCAGUGAUAUGUUUCUAUCACUAAUUGAUAGAUUUGGAGAAUGUUAAACUUGUUUGUGUAGGGAUGUUGAACUUGUUUUUCGGCAUGCUAAUCUGUUUGUUUGCGUUAAGGUGUGUUGGUGAAUGUUUUAGUCUAUCAAUGAUAAAUGCUUUCAUAGAUAAACUUGGAGUAUGUUUAGGGAUGUUAGUAGAUACUUUAGUUUAAUGUGCAUAUUUUUUGUGAUAUUGCUUAAAGAUCUUUCAGUGAUUUAUUUUUAUCACUAACAGAUUUGGAAGAUGUUUAGAUUGCUUGCAUUGUAAUAUAUAUUUAUAAACUCUAAUUCGAACUCUAGUCUGAAGUUCAUUUUGUGUGGGAUGUACUAGUAGUAGUAGUAGUAUAUUAUUAAAAGAAAAGAGACCUAGAUUUGCAUGCAAACCCUUUCUCCUUCUCCAUUAUUCUCCCUCAUGUUUCAAUACUAGCCACCGCCAUCAUCAGGGUUUCUCUGACCGUUAAACUUUCUUGCCCCCGUUCACCGCUACAACCUCCUCUCCUAUCAGUCGUAACACGUGUAGCUCACCAACCAUAGCAGUUGUUUACCGUCACACAGUUUUCGUCAAGCCUCCACGUCUCAAGAGCCUGAGCAUCCCACUAGUUCACUAUUCGACCUUCGACAAGUGCUUCCUCUCUAUCGUGGACUCAAGUCGCAUGAUCAGUGUGUUUUCUUCCAUUCUCGAGUCGAAAGACGAAGCUUCCACCCCUCUUAGAUGCACGUUUAUAUUAUAAGUCGGUCUUCUCCUCUCCCAACUGAGACACACAUGUAUGCUUUCUCCCUCACCGAGCUGCGUAGCCACAUCUAAGCUGCAUCCCAGAUCUGAGUCGAUCUCCCUUUGUUACUCGAGCCACGUAAGCCAAGCCAUUGCAACUUCUUUUUAAACCUUUUGAGCCAACAUUUAGGGGUUUUCAGUAAGCUUUUGAAUGGGUUUUGGUUUUUCCCAUCAAAUAUCAUUUUUUGUGCUUAGCAAAUUAAUUUUUGGAAUUAGGUGAGAUUAUUUUGUUAAAGUAAAGUUAUUAUUACUUUCCCUUUAUGUUUAGGACUAAUUUAAUUAAGAAAAUUGACUGUCAACCAAGGAUUGCUAGCUAAUCUUGAGGUAACGAAUUUCUACUACCGAACCUUAGAAUGAAGUUUAAAUGUACCGUAUAAGAUGAUUUGACUAUUGAUGAGUAGUGUUCAAAUGUAGGGAUAGUUGCAAAUUUAGCCAUUAGAUGCAAAAUAAUUAAGUAUACAGUGACAUUUUUAAAAAAUUGCAAAUAUAGCAAAAUUUAUGAAAUUCUAUCAAUGAUAGAAGUUUAUCACCGAUAGUUUUGCUAUAUUUGUAAUUUCUUUUUAAAUGUUGCUAUAUCCUUAAGUAUUAUUCAUAAAAUGGUCAUCAAUUAUAAUUACCCUAAAAUGUAUUGAUGGCUUGCUACAUUGAUGACUGAACUGAGAUAUGUACUAGAAUGAUUAUAUAUAGUGGAUAUGUAUUGAACUGGAAUAUUGUUGAUAGUUUUGAUCAUAUUUUGAUUUAUUGACUAUCUUAGACUUUUUAGACUAGAAUGAAAUUCUCUGGACUAAGGGGAAGUAUAAGACUUGUAUCUAAGAAAGGUUGAAUCAUUAGCUAAGUGUUCCAAAGAGGACGUUUUGAGCAGUCUAUUCGAUAAGAUGUUGACAAUUAAGUAAAUUAGGUGUUGAGGAAAGAUUACGCGAUAAGAUUUCUUGACGUUUAUGUGGUACUAUGAGAUUAAGGUACUACGCGAGAUGAAAGAUUAGGUGAGAAGAAGUAAGGAAACUUCCCCAAAAUUUUCUAAGUUUACUUAAUGGGCCACGUGUGAAGGUUUAAGGUAAGCAUGUGCACCACUUAGAGUAUGAGCUAGCAAGCUAACAAGAGAGUUUAAGGGUGACUUAGUUAUUUUUGAACUAGUAUAUAAAAUAGUGGUCUUCAACCAAAUUCAUAAGUAUUGUUACUUUAAAAUUCUAAAGACAAAAUUUAAAGUAUUGAAGUGCUAUUGAAGUAGCUAUCUAAGAAGAAAAAGAGAAGUUUUUGAAGUUUAAGUAAUCAAGUAGUUGUAAAGGCAGGCAUGGAUAAAAGAUGUGCAUGGUGAAAUGAGGUGAAACAAUGUAUAAAAGAUGUGCAUUGGCUCUCAGCCUGAGCAACAAUGAAUGAAUCAGGAUAUUCUCGGAUGUUGAUGAUGAGAAGGCCAUCUCAGUAGUCUAAAUGUGAGAUGAGGAGUCUUUGCGUAGAGAAUGAUUUAGGUCCUUGAAGAAAGGAAUGACUGUUGACUAAUGUGUGUUCUUAUGGAAUGAGUACUUAUGCGAUUUAUUAUGUUUAUGUAAAAAAAGAAAAGAAAAGAAAAGAUGUGUUUACGUAAAAUCUACGAAAGGUAUAUUGCGAAAAGGUUUUUAUAAAACCUUCAGAGUCUUUUAGACUUAUGUUUUAAAGUUUAUUUUCCAGGCUUCAGGCGUUAACACAAGUAAGGAAAGACUGAGAAUUUGUUGGGUGAGAAGAGCUGCAAGCGUUUUGUUUUCAAUUUAAGUUAUGUACUUAUGUAAUUUUUAUUAAGUGUUGUAGAACACCUUGUUUAAAGUUAAUAAAAGUUUUUGGUUUGUCUUUUUUUUU